This 23-nucleotide non-coding RNA is filed under the name Arabidopsis thaliana (thale cress). The record is from RNAcentral. Lineage: Eukaryota; Viridiplantae; Streptophyta; Magnoliopsida; Brassicales; Brassicaceae.
AUGUGCUUUGAUACAAAAAAUGC